Molecule: long non-coding RNA, 539 nt
Organism: Hippopotamus amphibius kiboko
Lineage: Eukaryota; Metazoa; Chordata; Mammalia; Artiodactyla; Hippopotamidae
Exons: 3
Source: RefSeq, a predicted model, not a curated record
GGAGGGGCCUGGGGACUGAGGACUAACUAGCGGGGUGAGGUACAAAGUGUCCGGAGUUUCAUAAUCGGCCCCGGGGGAGGAGUGGCCAGAGGACUGUCCGGAUGUCAUCCUCCCUCUCUGAACACCUGAGAGUGGCUGGCUGAGGAAUGAAAAAAUGCUCUUCGGUGAUGUCCUUUAAUGUCGAGGACGCUCAUGUUGCAAACAAAUACUUCAUCUUUCCCUCAGUGGUUGAGAUCAUGGUUUCUGGAUUCAGACUCUCUACAUGUCCUUGGGUGGUGCAGUGGUAAAGAAUCCACCGGCCAAUGCAGGGGACACGGGUUCGAGCCCUGCUCUGGGAAGAUUCCACAUGCCGCGGAGCAGCUAAGCCCGUGCACCACAACUAUUGAGCCCAUGUGCCGCAACUAUUGAAGCCCACGUGCCUAGGGCCCAUGCUCUGCAACAAGAGAAGCCACUGCAAUGAGAAGCCCGCGCACCACAAUGAAGAGUAGCCCCCACUCACAGCAACUAGAGAAAGCCUGUGUGCAGCAACGAAGACCCAA